Long non-coding RNA from Bacillus rossius redtenbacheri, 234 nucleotides. RefSeq lists it as uncharacterized. The record is from RefSeq and is a predicted model, not a curated record. The transcript is spliced from 3 exons. Lineage: Eukaryota; Metazoa; Arthropoda; Insecta; Phasmatodea; Bacillidae.
GUAACAGAUCUUGAACAUUUGUACUCCACGUACGAACAGGACAUUUCUGUGACAUUUCGCGAGAUUGUUUUGGUUUUGUCUAGAGAGGCAAGCAGAUGUAUCACAACUGCACUGGAGGGGCAACAGUGAAAUUGUGUGUACAAAAAAUAAAACACAACAAAUCGUUGUUUCAAAAAGCACGCGUGUUUUUGAUGGUGGGACUGAACGAUGUGCUGAAGGGCACCCGAUCUGACU